Molecule: microRNA precursor, 62 nt
Filed under: Pristionchus pacificus
Lineage: Eukaryota; Metazoa; Nematoda; Chromadorea; Rhabditida; Neodiplogasteridae
Description: microRNA ppc-mir-8293 precursor
Source: miRBase by way of RNAcentral
UCGGCCAAUUUAUCUUUCAGCCUCAUAACUGAAGGAUGGAUGAAAGAUAAAAGUGGUCGGCA